Molecule: long non-coding RNA, 763 nt
Filed under: Homo sapiens (human)
Lineage: Eukaryota; Metazoa; Chordata; Mammalia; Primates; Hominidae
Description: HSALNT0082981
Source: RNAcentral
GGACCAGGACAGGCUGCUGCGGGCCAGGGGCAAACACGUCAGGCCUGGCCCCCAGUCCGCUGCUGCCCCUCCCUUUCACCUUCCAUCCAGCACUAAGGGAGUCUGGCCACGGCCUAAUAUAGGAGGGCUUGUGGAAGGAGACACCCACCCCCUCUUUCUGCACCUCUCCCCUCUUCCAUGCCACCCCCAGGCCAGGAGCCACCACAGCCCUGUCUGUGACUCUCAGCUCCCGAGGCUGGGCUCUUCCCCAGGGAAGCUGCAUGACCAUGGCCACAUACAGGAGGUAGGAGACAGAGGCCUCCACGGUGGACGAUCGUGGCGUGAAGUCCACGUUGACCACGUUGUCGGUGCUGGGGGAGCGGAUGAAGGCCAGGGACCCGCGGCGCUCUCCCUGUGGUCAGGAAGCAGCCCGGAGACCCUAAAACUCCAUUGGCCUCAUGUCCAGAACUGAAUCAGGUUCAGCUCGUGGAAGACAUUCAGGAUCCGGUCUCGAGACUUCUGGGCCGACCGUCUCAUGAGGACCCUGCUGAGGAACUUCCUGUCGAAGUGGGACCACCUGUAGGGACAGACCUUGGGUGUGAGCCUCAGGCGCGUUUAAAAUGAGGGAAGCAGCCCCUGCCACACGCCCAGGCCGUCCGCCGUUCUCCCGCCUGUCCUGUUGGAUGGAGGCCGUUAGACGCAUAUGAAACUGCAUGCCGCCUCCUCCAGAGGGUGGCUCAGGACACGGUGGGUGUCAGGCCUGGUCAGGCAAGGGGGCUUUGGC